Molecule: microRNA precursor, 136 nt
Filed under: Hordeum vulgare
Lineage: Eukaryota; Viridiplantae; Streptophyta; Magnoliopsida; Poales; Poaceae
Description: microRNA MIR1122
Rfam family: MIR1120/MIR1122 microRNA precursor family
Source: RNAcentral
CAACUACUCCCUUCAUCCCAAAAUUCUUGUCUUAAAUUUGUCUAGACAUAAAUGUAUCUAGUAACAUUUUAAUAUUUAGAUACAUUUGUUUUUAGACAAACUUAAGACAAGAAUUUUAGCACGGAGGUGUCAUGUU